AAUGGUCGACUAUGUUUCACAGUAUUGUUUCAAGUGCAACAACAACUGAAAUCCUAUCAACUGGAGUGCCGGGAAACUAUGAUGGAGCCUUGCUAGCGAUCUCGGCAAAGUUUCAAGUGUUGUCACAUCUUGUUCCUACCCGUGACAACUAUUUCUUAAGGUAUUGUAAGCUUCACCUUGAUGGGGCAUGGGCGGUGGUUGAUAUUUCCUUGGACUAUAUGCGACCUGGUGCUGCCUAAAAAUGCAGAAGGCAACCCUCUGGUUGUAUGAUUCAAGAAUUGACAAAUGGUUUCUCAAAGGUUACAUGGAUUGAGCAUGUAGAAGUUGAAGACAAUGUGAUGCAUGAUCUCUUCAAAAAUCUAGUAAAUUCUGGUUUUUCCUUUAGAGCUAGACGGUGGAUAGGAACUUUAGAAAGACAGUGCAAACGUAUUGCUUGCACAAUAGCAUCAAACAUAC
Long non-coding RNA from Lotus japonicus, 456 nucleotides. RefSeq lists it as uncharacterized. The transcript is spliced from 3 exons. NCBI's taxonomy places the organism in Eukaryota, Viridiplantae, Streptophyta, Magnoliopsida, Fabales, Fabaceae. The record is from RefSeq and is a predicted model, not a curated record.